UAAAUGAUCCUUUUAUCGUGUAC
RNAcentral lists this microRNA (23 nucleotides) under Anopheles gambiae (African malaria mosquito). RNAcentral describes it as "aga-miR-10361a-3p". The record is from miRBase by way of RNAcentral. Lineage: Eukaryota; Metazoa; Arthropoda; Insecta; Diptera; Culicidae.